This 215-nucleotide long non-coding RNA is filed under the name Elaeis guineensis (African oil palm). Its description in RNAcentral is "long non-coding RNA (EGUI_LNC042591)". Lineage: Eukaryota; Viridiplantae; Streptophyta; Magnoliopsida; Arecales; Arecaceae. The record is from RNAcentral.
CCCGAGACGUGAUAGUACCAUGCCAAUCGAACCGGGCAAUUAGUGUAAAUAGUAGGAAAUGUUGUAUCCAUGUGAUCCCCUAAGACGUGAUAGUACUAUGCCAAUUGAACUUGGCAAUUAGUGUAAAUAGUAGGAAAUGUGGCAUUCACGUGAUCCCAAAUAUCAUGAAGGAACGUAUCCAGCAUCACCAAAAGAAGAUUGAAUUCCAUGGUUGG